RNAcentral lists this ribosomal RNA (578 nucleotides) under uncultured bacterium. RNAcentral describes it as "partial 16S ribosomal RNA". It matches the Rfam family "Bacterial small subunit ribosomal RNA", at positions 355 to 923 of the family's 1533-position model. The record is from RNAcentral.
UGGGGAAUAUUGGACAAUGGGCGCAAGCCUGAUCCAGCAAUGCCGCGUGUGUGAAGAAGGCCUUCGGGUUGUAAAGCACUUUUAUCAGGAGCGAAACGCUGUCGGCUAAUACCCGGCGGAACCGACGGUACCUGAGGAAUAAGCACCGGCUAACUUCGUGCCAGCAGCCGCGGUAAUACGAAGGGUGCAAGCGUUAAUCGGAAUUACUGGGCGUAAAGCGUGCGUAGGCGGUUUCUUAAGUCUGCUGUGAAAUCCCCGGGCUCAACCUGGGAAUGGCAGUGGAUACUGGGAGGCUAGAGUGUGUCAGAGGGUGGUGGAAUUCCCGGUGUAGCGGUGAAAUGCGUAGAGAUCGGGAGGAACAUCAGUGGCGAAGGCGGCCACCUGGGGCAACACUGACGCUGAGGCACGAAAGCGUGGGGAGCAAACAGGAUUAGAUACCCUGGUAGUCCACGCCCUAAACGAUGCGAACUGGAUGUUGGUCUCAACUGCGGAGAUCAGUGUCGAAGCUAACGCGUUAAGUUCGCCGCCUGGGGAGUACGGUCGCAAGACUGAAACUCAAAUGAAUUGACGGGGUCAUA